AACAAAGCUAGACGGCAGUAGUCUUGUGAACUCCGCCAGGAUCGAAAGAUAGCAACGGUAGCAUGGUUCGCUGGGUGUCUAGCUUUUUUAUU
This 92-nucleotide signal recognition particle RNA is filed under the name Desulfovibrionaceae bacterium. RNAcentral's name for it is "signal recognition particle sRNA small type". It matches the Rfam family "Bacterial small signal recognition particle RNA". Rfam says of the family: The signal recognition particle (SRP) is a universally conserved ribonucleoprotein involved in the co-translational targeting of proteins to membranes. The record is from RNAcentral. Lineage: Bacteria; Pseudomonadati; Thermodesulfobacteriota; Desulfovibrionia; Desulfovibrionales; Desulfovibrionaceae.